CAUCGUCGUUCAACGCGCCUUUGACAACUACCGUGUGUAGAUGUUCGAAACCGAGAGAAGACAAGUAUGCAUGCAGAACUUUUCGCCAAACGUCAGGGAGCGAUAGAGAGAGAGAGAGAGAGAGAGAGGGAGAGGAAGAGAGAGAAAGAGUGAGAGAGAGAGAGAGAGAGAAAGAGAGACGAAGGAAAGGUGCAAUCUGCAUAUUCAGGACAAAGAUAAUCCGGAGGAAUCGUAAAUGAAACGAGGAAAGAACAUCUCUCGGGGAAGUUUUAUGGAACAUUUACG
This is a long non-coding RNA of Neodiprion virginianus, 285 nucleotides long. RefSeq lists it as uncharacterized. The record is from RefSeq and is a predicted model, not a curated record. NCBI's taxonomy places the organism in Eukaryota, Metazoa, Arthropoda, Insecta, Hymenoptera, Diprionidae. The transcript has 3 exons.